RNAcentral lists this transfer RNA (82 nucleotides) under bacterium. Its description in RNAcentral is "tRNA-Tyr". It matches the Rfam family "tRNA". Rfam says of the family: Transfer RNA (tRNA) molecules are approximately 80 nucleotides in length. Their secondary structure includes four short double-helical elements and three loops (D, anti-codon, and T loops). Further hydrogen bonds mediate the characteristic L-shaped molecular structure. tRNAs have two regions of fundamental functional importance: the anti-codon, which is responsible for specific mRNA codon recognition, and the 3' end, to which the tRNAs corresponding amino acid is attached (by aminoacyl-tRNA synthetases). tRNAs cope with the degeneracy of the genetic code in two manners: having more than one tRNA (with a specific anti-codon) for a particular amino acid; and 'wobble' base-pairing, i.e. permitting non-standard base-pairing at the 3rd anti-codon position. RNAcentral also lists the same sequence under 3 other names. The record is from RNAcentral.
GGAGGGGUUCCCGAGUGGCCAAAGGGAACAGACUGUAAAUCUGUCGGCGAAGCCUUCGGAGGUUCGAAUCCUCCCCCCUCCA